RNAcentral lists this ribosomal RNA (200 nucleotides) under Oidiodendron maius. RNAcentral's name for it is "partial large subunit ribosomal RNA". It matches the Rfam family "Eukaryotic large subunit ribosomal RNA", at positions 82 to 279 of the family's 3401-position model. Lineage: Eukaryota; Fungi; Ascomycota; Leotiomycetes; Myxotrichaceae. The record is from RNAcentral.
AGUAACGGCGAGUGAAGCGGCAACAGCUCAAAUUUGAAAUCUGGCCCUCUCAGGGUCCGAGUUGUAAUUUGGAGAGGAUGCUUCGGGUGUGGCGCCGGUCUAAGUUCCUUGGAACAGGACGUCACAGAGGGUGAGAAUCCCGUACGUGCCCGGUGGCCGCCCCCGUGUGAAGCUCCUUCGACGAGUCGAGUUGUUUGGGA